Molecule: non-coding RNA, 315 nt
Organism: Pelobates cultripes (western spadefoot toad)
Lineage: Eukaryota; Metazoa; Chordata; Amphibia; Anura; Pelobatidae
Source: the annotation of a GenBank genome assembly
AAAAAAGGCACAGCACACCAACAUCAAAACCUCAUCCCAACUGUGAAGUAUGGUGGUGGGGGCAUCAUGGUUUGGGGCUGCUUUGCUGUGCCAGGGCCUGGACGGAUUGCUAUCAUCGAAGGAAAAAUUAAUUCCCAAGUUUAUCAAGACACUUUGCAGGAGAACUUAAGGCCAUCUGUCUACCAGCUGAAGCUCAACAGAAGAUGGGUGUUGCAACAGGACAAUGACCCAAAGCAUAGAAGUAAAUCAACAACAGAAUGGCUUAAACAGAAGAAAAUACGCCUUCUGAAGUGGGCCAGUCAGAGUCCUGACCUC